RNAcentral lists this ribosomal RNA (494 nucleotides) under uncultured bacterium. RNAcentral's name for it is "partial 16S ribosomal RNA". It matches the Rfam family "Bacterial small subunit ribosomal RNA", at positions 28 to 507 of the family's 1533-position model. The record is from RNAcentral.
GACGAACGCUGGCGGCGUGCUUAACACAUGCAAGUCGAACGGUGAAGCGCCUUCCUUUUUGGUGGGUGUGGAUGAGUGGCGAACGGGUGAGUAACACGUGAGUAACCUGCCCCCUUCUUCUGGAUAACCGCAUGAAAGUGUGGCUAAUACGGGAUAUUCUGGGUCUGUCGCAUGAUGGGUCUGGGAAAGAUAUUGUUUCGGUGGGGGAUGGGCUCGCGGCCUAUCAGCUUGUUGGUGGGGUGAUGGCCUACCAAGGCGGUGACGGGUAGCCGGCCUGAGAGGGUGGACGGUCACACAGGGACAGAGACACGGCCGAGACUCCUACGGGAGGCAGCAGUGGGGAAUAGUGCACAAUGGGCGCAAGCCUGAUGCAGCGACGCCGCGUGAGGGAUGGAGGCCUGCGGGUUGUGAACCUCUUUCGCCAGUGAAGCAGGCCUGCCUCGUAUGUGGGUGGGUUGACGGUAGCUGGAUAAGAAGCGCCGGCUAACUACGUG